RNAcentral lists this long non-coding RNA (5271 nucleotides) under Sus scrofa (pig). Its description in RNAcentral is "lncRNA (ENSSSCG00060059404.1)". Lineage: Eukaryota; Metazoa; Chordata; Mammalia; Artiodactyla; Suidae. The record is from RNAcentral.
GGAUUGUUAAGGGGGGCUGGGUCGAGAUAACUCAGCAUCCCAUCAGCUCCGCACACCCCGGUCUUUACGGAUUAACCACCCCCACCCCGUAAGAAGUCCGCUCUAAGGACUAUAAGGGCAAAAGAGUAAGAAAGUACUGCCUCUUGGAAUACGCUGGAAAGUCUUUUACUGACUAAAGAGGGAGAUGACAGCUUCUAGUCCUAAAUUUAUGUCACAUUGCUCUGCACUGCACAGAUUUCCUUUGACUAAUGGGAUAUGGUGCACACACGCCUAUACAGGGUUCUUGAAAACUCUUUUCUCAGUAUUGGCCAGGAUGUAAUGCUAUAGACAGUAGCUGAGAUCUGCCUAGACCACAGCACCGUGAGCUAAAUGACUCAUCACUUCCCACUAUCAAAAGACAUGUGAUACACUGCUCAUUAACUCAUAACCUAAGAGACUACCUUUCUUGCAAGUGGAGAAUCCAGUAUGACUUUGAUUAGGGUACAGAGAUCCAGUGCUGGAUGUGGGAGCAGGAGAUGUAGCAUUCGGGGCAGAAAAAAAGGAAGUAAAAUCUCUGACUCAGGCAAUAGUGAACGUGGGGAGAAAGACACAGUCUGAGAUAUCAGAUUCAAGGGCGUGACCAGAGAGCAGGAAGCGGAUUAUAGCAGAAGAGGAGACCAGGAAGAGUCCCCAGACUAUGGAAUGCAGAGGAAGGAGGCUGUUAUGGAGACCUGUGGUCAGGUACCAGCACAACUCGAGAGUAUGUAUGAUGCUGGGUGUUUGUUUGCUUUUUAGGGCUGCACCUGUGGAAGUUCCCAGCCUAGGGGUCGAAUCGGAGCUACAGCUGCCGGUCUACGCCACAGCCACAGCCACAGCCACAGCCACAUGGGGUCCAAGCUGUGUCUGUGACCUACACCAUAGCUCAGGGCAACCCCGGAUCCUUAACCCACUGAGUGAGGCCAGGGAUAGAACCCGAGUGCUCAUGAGUACUAGUCAGAUUCGUUUCUGCUGCGCCACAAUGGGAACUCCAGAGAGCUUGGAAAGCAAACUUAAAAAAAAAAAAUCAUCUUAAAAGAUCUCAUUAGAAAGAUCCGAAGAAUGAUAUCAGAAACCUUUUAAUUUGUUUUGGGAAAAAACAGUACAAAGCAAAUUGUAGAUUUCUAUACAAAAUAGUUCUAAUUCCAGAGGAUAAUUUCACUGUCAACAAAUCUUUCUGUGGUCUUUAUAAAGUUUCAAGUUAAAAACCUUCCUAAACCUUCUGGUGUGUGUAUGUAUAUAUACACACACACUUAUAUCUGGCCAAGGUGGGCAAUAAGCUUGAAUCAAGAUUUAGGUUUCCAAAGUAGCAAAGCCAGAGACUUCCUUUGUGGCUGGCAACAUAACUACAAAGUAGCAAAGCCAAAUAGACAGUGUCCUUGCAGAAAUCUUUUUUUUUUUUUUUUUGGCCGUGCCUGUGGCAUGUGGAAGUUCUCAGGCCAGGGAUGAACGCACCCCACAGCAGCAACCCAGGGUGCUGCAGUGACAAUGCCAGAUCCUUAACCUGCUAUGCCACACAAGUGAAUUCCAUCCUUGCAGAAUUCUCUUGUAAAAUGUUUCUUAUUUAUUUUUAAAGGGUUUGGGGGGAGCUUGGGGUGGGGGAGGCAAGGGGGAAAGGGAAUCCAAGUAUGCCCCAUUCAUCUAUAUGACACCAUAAUAACUUGUAGACAAGAUAAUUACUUGGUUCCUUCGACUGUAAGGUAACAAAUCAUGAUCAGUUUUGGUUUUGUGUGGACGCACUCCUGAUGAAGGUAAGACAUUGAGGACCAGAGUGAAGGCAACUCAGUGUGUUAAUGUCUCAUUCAAGAAAAGGGAAGCAGGGAAAUUCUGAAUGUGUCUUCAUGAUGAGGAUAGAGUGUGGUGGUUUGGGAACAUGGGGUGAGGGUAUUUCUUUGGCUUAUUUCAUCAUCGUUAGAGCACACACUAACAAUUGUAUUCCAUUUCUUAAAUUCCACUGGUUCUGGAAUUCCAGCCAAGGUCCCUCCAGAUCAUGGUGCUCCCUUGACCCCAUGGUGCUGCUGGGGAAGGCGCUUCAUUCUCUUUGCAUCAUAAAUCGUUUGUUUGUUUAUUUGUUUUAGGGCUGCACCCACAGCAUAUGGAGGUCCCCAGGCUAGGGGUCUAUUCGGAGCUGUAGCCACCGGCUACAGCCACAGCCACAGAAACACCAGAUCCAAGCCACAUCUGCGACCUACACCACAGCUCACUGGCAGCCUCGGAUCCUCAACCCACUGAGUGAGGCCAGGGAUCAAACCCACAUCGUCAGGGUUCCUAGUCAGAUUUGUUCCCGCUGCGCCACGAUGGGAGCUCCUGCAUCAUCAAUUGUUUAGCAAUCUAUUCAUGAAAGCAAAAAAAUAUAUAAAAUUCUAUGAAAAUGAUCUUGAGCACCUGCUUAAUGUAUCCAGAUAAAGUUUUUUUCUGGAUAUAAUAUCCUUAAAAAUUGAAACUCAGCCAAAGCUUCAACUGGUUGAUCCUUUAGCAUUUUGAGAAGUCAUGAUUCAAACAGAAGAGACAGCCUCUUGCUUCACCCCACUCAUUCUAAGCCUAUAACCGAGACAAGAUGUCCUGCUCCCUGGGAAAAGGACGCCACCACACUUUGGCGCAUCUGCCCUUUUAGAAUGUUCCCCAAACACUAACAGCUGCAGCUGGGCCUGCCAAGGGGAUGCUUCUGUGACACAAAAAGCCUUUUAUUACGGUUCUCAAUGCUAUUUGUGAUGUUUGGAUUCUUCUGUUGUUACUGUUAUUCUUGAAGGUUGCUUCUGGUUUGGAGCACUCGUUAAAACCUAGGGAUAGCUUUUCCUUGGAUCAAAGUUACUUCUGCCCAGGAACAGUGGUAGAGAAGUACACUGAACAGAGCUUUGGCACAAAGCAUCUUCCAGAUGGGAUGAGAACACCUGAGCAAUCCAAUACAAACCCACAUUUUUAUUAGGUGACAGAGCAUGUCUUAUUAUUUUCAUGUCCUAUCCUUCGGACUUAAAGUCUUCAUCCUACUUUAAAUGUGCAGAUUUUAAAAAUUCUAUUUCUUAAUGAAAAAGAAACUAAGAGGGAGAUACAAAGUUUAGUGUUUUUAAGUGUAGGCUUCGGGGAUAGUGAUUUAUUCACUUUAUGCCCCUUGGUGAUACCAAUGAAAAUGAAUAUCAAGCAAACUUAGAAGUUCGCAGGCUUUUUCCUCUCAGGCUUCUGUGCAAUUAAUUAGAACAAUAGGGAAGCCUUUCAUGAAAGUUAUAUCUUCAGGCUCAGCCUCAUGUUCUUUUAUCUGAACAUAACAUGUUGGUUUCUAAUGUCUUUUCUUCCUCCCACCGCCAAUCAUGUAGGCUAACAGCCAAUCAAAAAGCAAAGAGAUUUUCUAAUACUAAGAGUAUGAUGUAUUUAACAUGAUAAAUCACUGCCGUAAUUUCAAAGUAUAGCUUUCAUGCAGGAAAAAAAAAAGUCUUUGUCAUCAUAGAAGUUGCCCUUUACAAACGACAGUGAAUACGAUAAUUAAUUUCUUUGAUUUAUAUCUAUCAAUACAUAUUACUGAGUUCCUGAGGGAGUCACAGCAGUGUGCUCCCUGUUCUGCUGCUUUUGAAUCCAGUAUGAAUCAGGGAUCUGUCGACAAGGGUCUUGUUGACUAGUAGGGGACGUCAAGCAGAUGUGUGAAAGCAGCGUUGCCAAGCUAGGGUUGGGUGUUGUGGAAGCCGGGGUGUGCUCUGCCUCAGUACAUUCCCCAGAUGCUGGAGAGACUUCACUGAAGUCUUUCUGCCAGGAUUUCUCUUAGCCAAAGACUGCCACCCCUGCAAGGUCAUGUUCCCUCCAAGAAAGCAGGCUUUAUCCAAUGACAGGGGGGUAACUAAAGGCCCCAGGUCCCUUGCCUCCAGACAGGAUAACUCUGAAAGAUGAUCCCAGAUCCAGAGCAACCAGUUGGACCACUGAAAUAUGUUACAUUUAUUUAUUUUAUUUUGUCUUUUUAUGGCCCCACUCAAAUCACAUGGAAGUUCCCAGGCCUGGGGUCGAAUCAGAGCUGUAACUGCCGGCCUACACCACAGCCACCAUUGCAGAAUCCUUAACCCAGUGAUCAAGGCUGGGGAUUGAACCUGAGUCCUCAUGAAUACUAGUCGGGUUCGUUACCGCUGAGCCACGAUGGGAACUCCUCUAUGAAAUUUAAUGCUCAAAUGAAAUAAUUUAAAAUGUUUAUUUCAUUUACACAAAAUUGUACAGUUCUCCCUGUAUUAAGAAAAAUCAGUCUGUCACUACUUUUCUCAAGACAGGAUCUACCUCCUUCUCACAGAAAAGCUUUCCUAACAUCCCAGUUUGGGCGAGGAACCUUCUGCAGCCGCUGUGCAAUCUCCUGCCGUGUCCUUAGCAGAUUUAAUUGUCUGUCUUCUCCUGCUGAGUAGACCAAGCAACCUGUGCUCAAGACCGUGGAUCUCAGCUCUGUGGCCUCAGUGCCCAGCCCAGGGUCUGCUACAUAAUGCGUGUGCAAUACAUGGUAAAGAAACUAAUGACGAUAAACAAACCCGGUAAAUCUUUCCAAGACAGGAGGACUCUUUUCGAACAGUCACGGUGCCAAAGUUUUAAGAAGCAAAGACGUGUGCUGCGCUAUAAAUCAUCACGUAAAAAUGGCAUAAUAACAAAAAAGAAACCUACUCACAGACACAGACAACAAGCCUGUGGAUACCAAAGGGGAGAGGAAAUGGGGAAGGACAAAUUAGAGGUUAACAGAUACAAACUCUUACGUAUAAAACAGGUAAGCAACAAGGAUGUAUUGGAUAGUACAGAAAAUUAUGGCCAUUAUCUUGUAAUAACUUAUAAAGGAGUAUAAUCUGUAAAAAUAUAGAAUCCCUAUGCUAUAAUCUGAAAUGAAUACAAUAUUGUAGAUCAAUUAUACUUCAAUAAGAAAAUUAAUAAAAAUAAAAAAAGACCUAAGAAGCCAAACUUUAUAAAAUCCCCUUUUUAUCCUUCCUAGAUACUCAAUUGUUUUGAAGGUUACAUAAAAGGAAAUAACUAAGCUAAAUGGUGAAAAGCAAAAAUAAAAAGUCACUGUUAUCUCAGCAGUGACCGUGUAGCCAGGAACACUAGUUGGAAGAGCCUGGCAGGGGACUGCAAGCCUGGGAUCACUUUUACACAGCAGCUUCCAUUUUACUCCUUUAUGAAACUGUGGGAGAGAGAGUUCCCUUCGUGGCUCAGAGGUUAAUGACCCCGACUAGGAUCCAUGAAGAUGCGGGUUUGAUCCCUGGCCUCGCUCAGUGGAUUAAGGAUCCGGCGUUGCCGUGAACUGUG